This 253-nucleotide ribosomal RNA is filed under the name uncultured bacterium. Its description in RNAcentral is "partial 16S ribosomal RNA". It matches the Rfam family "Bacterial small subunit ribosomal RNA", at positions 524 to 776 of the family's 1533-position model. The record is from RNAcentral.
UACGAAGGGUGCUAGCGUUGUUCGGAAUUACUGGGCGUAAAGCGCGCGUAGGCGGCUUGUCAAGUCAGGGGUGAAAUCCGGCAGCUUAACUGUCGCAGUGCCUUUGAUACUGUGGAGCUAGAGGGAGGUAGGGGUCUGUGGAACUUCCGGUGGAGCGGUGAAAUGCGUUGAUAUCGGAAGGAACGCCGGUGGCGAAAGCGACGGACUGGAUCUCUUCUGACGCUGAGGCGCGAAAGCCAGGGGAGCAAACGGG